GGUUGCCACCUAGUUUUAUUCCAGAGAUCGCAAUGGCGGAUGGCGUUCAUUUAGAUCAGUUCUGCUCGAGAGUGUAAGUGAGUUAUGACACAAUCCGGGAGCAAAAAACUACAUUUUCCCAUGACACGCGCACCUGCGACAAUCCCUGCCUGGCGUUCCGUGUUAACUUUGGCUUUUUGCGAGAUUCUCCGUGGCAUUUGCACGUUGCGUGUUUUGGCCAGGACAUUGGGAAAACAUCGGGACACCCCAACCGGCAGUGCAGUCAACAAAUCCCAAUCCCGGCGGACACGGAAUUUAUGUUUGUUUGAGAACAUUUCGCCGUCAAGUCAUUCGUCAGUCUUGUCACAUAGCAUUUUUUCCCCCCUCUCCCGAAUUGUAUAGUAUGUAUGUGUGUGUGUAUCUGUGUGUGAUUGCGGAGGACACGCGUAAAGAAGAAGAACUGUAGCUAUAAGAAUGAUGGAAAAAUGCAAAAAUUUGUGACGAGAGCACAACUGCGUCCUUUUAGUGGACAAGACAGGAGGGGACACUACCAGUGACUCUGAUUAAUGCUCGAAUUUGCUAAUUCGAUGUCAGAUGGCGGAAAUUCAUCUAUUUAUGGGAGUGACUUGCUUUAGUUUAUUAAUGACAAGCAGAUGGGAAUUUUGUCAUAUUUUUUGGUCAAAACUUAUCUAUUUGAUGCUCUUCAUUUUAGAUUUUUUAUAGUUUAGAAACUUGAAACUGCAAAGGACUCAAUUAUGGUCUACUUUUUGCAUAAAAUGCUGGAUAAUUGAUUUUAUCCUUCUUAUUCGAGUUUAUUGAAGAUAAAUAGGAACUAAGAUUUUUAAAUUUGAAGAAAUUCCAAACGAUACAAUCCAAAAGAUACAAUUUUUCAGAACAAAAUAGAGGAUAAUUGAUUGUUUUCUAGAAUCUGGAAUCUUAAAUCAGAGAUUAUUCUAAUUCAGGGAGUUCAUUGCAGAUAAAUAGGAACUAGAAUAAAUUCAGUAUACUUCAUUAGCGCCUAAACAUAAAUCAUAAUUCAGAGGCUUUGUGAUCUAUUGAAGG
This is a long non-coding RNA of Drosophila ananassae, 1041 nucleotides long. RefSeq lists it as uncharacterized. The transcript has 4 exons. NCBI's taxonomy places the organism in Eukaryota, Metazoa, Arthropoda, Insecta, Diptera, Drosophilidae. The record is from RefSeq and is a predicted model, not a curated record.